Molecule: long non-coding RNA, 76 nt
Organism: Diceros bicornis minor
Lineage: Eukaryota; Metazoa; Chordata; Mammalia; Perissodactyla; Rhinocerotidae
Exons: 3
Source: RefSeq, a predicted model, not a curated record
UGAACUCGCCUGAGGGUCCCACGUCAGUGGCAGAAAUCCUUAUGGACCCUGCACAGGUUGUUGGCAUGGAGCCCAG